Molecule: non-coding RNA, 27 nt
Filed under: Rattus norvegicus (Norway rat)
Lineage: Eukaryota; Metazoa; Chordata; Mammalia; Rodentia; Muridae
Source: RNAcentral
UGGGAAGUAGUUGAAUGCUUAGAGAGG